Molecule: ribosomal RNA, 460 nt
Filed under: uncultured bacterium
Lineage: Bacteria
Description: partial 16S ribosomal RNA
Rfam family: Bacterial small subunit ribosomal RNA
Source: RNAcentral
CCUACGGGAGGCAGCAGUGAGGAAUAUUGGUCAAUGGACGCAAGUCUGAACCAGCCAUGCCGCGUGCAGGAAGACGGCUCUAUGAGUUGUAAACUGCUUUUGUACGAGGGUAAACGCAGAUACGCGUAUCUGUCUGAAAGUAUCGUACGAAUAAGGAUCGGCUAACUCCGUGCCAGCAGCCGCGGUAAUACGGAGGAUUCAAGCGUUAUCCGGAUUUAUUGGGUUUAAAGGGUGCGUAGGCGGUCGGAUAAGUUAGAGGUGAAAUCCCGAGGCUCAACUUCGGAAUUGCCUCUGAUACUGUACGGCUAGAGAGUAGUUGCGGUAGGCGGAAUGUAUGGUGUAGCGGUGAAAUGCUUAGAGAUCAUACAGAACACCGAUUGCGAAGGCAGCUUACCAAGCCACUUCUGACGUUGAGGCACGAAAGCGUGGGGAGCAAACAGGAUUAGAUACCCCAGUAGUC